GGCGGCGUGCUUAACACAUGCAAGUCGAACGAAGAAGCCAGCUUUGCUGGUGGAUUAGUGGCGAACGGGUGAGUAACACCUGGGUGAUCUGCCCCAAACUUUGGGAUAAGCCUGGGAAACUGGGUCUAAUACCGAAUAUGACCGAUACUGGCAUGGGUGUUGGUGGAAAGCUCCGGCGGUUUGGGAUGGGCCCGCGGCCUAUCAGCUUGUUGGUGGGGUAAUGGCCUACCAAGGCGACGACGGGUACCCGGCCUGAGAGGCCGACCGGCCACACUGGGACUGAGACACGGCCCAGACUCCUACGGGAGGCAGCAGUGGGGAAUUUUGCACAAUGGGCGCAAGCCUGAUGCAGCGACGCCGCGUGAGGGAUGACGGCCUUCGGGUUGUAAACCUCUUUCACCAGGGACGAAGCGAAAGUGACGGUACCUGGAGAAGAAGCACCGGCCAACUACGUGCCAGCAGCCGCGGUAAUACGUAGGGUGCGAGCCGUUGUCCGGAAUUACUGGGCGUAAAGAGCUCGUAGGCGGUUUGUCGCGUCGUUCGUGAAAACUUGGGGCUUAACUCCAAGCGUGCGGGCGAUACGGGCAGACUUGAGUACUACAGGGGAGACUGGAAUUCCUGGUGUAGCGGUGAAAUGCGCAGAUAUCAGGAGGAACACCGGUGGCGAAGGCGGGUCUCUGGGUAGUAACUGACGCUGAGGAGCGAAAGCGUGGGUAGCGAACAGGAUUAGAUACCCUGGUAGUCCACGCCGUAAACGGUGGGUACUAGGUGUGGGUUCCUUUUCACGGGAUCCGUGCCGUAGCUAACGCAUUAAGUACCCCGCCUGGGGAGUACGGCCGCAAGGCUAAAACUCAAAGGAAUUGACGGGGGCCCGCACAAGCGGCGGAGCAUGUGGAUUAAUUCGAUGCAACGCGAAGAACCUUACCUGGGUUUGACAUACUCCAGAAAGCCAUACAGAUAUGGCCCCCCUUGUGGUUGGUGUACAGGUGGUGCAUGGCUGUCGUCAGCUCGUGACGUGAGAUGUUGGGUUAAGUCCCGCAACGAGCGCAACCCUUGACCUGUGUUGCCAGCAGGUAAUGGUGGGGACUCGCAGGAGACUGCCGGGGUCAACUCGGAGGAAGGUGGGGAUGACGUCAAAGUCAUCAUGCCCCUUAUGUCCAGGGCUUCACACAUGCUACAAUGGCGGGUACAGAGGGCUGCGAUACCGUGAGGUGGAGCGAAUCCCUUAAAGCCGGUCACAGUUCGGAUCGGGGUCUGCAAGUCGACCCCGUGAAGUCGGAGUCGCUAGUAAUCGCAGAUCAGCAACGCUGCGGUGAAUACGUU
RNAcentral lists this ribosomal RNA (1323 nucleotides) under uncultured Williamsia sp. RNAcentral's name for it is "bacterial SSU rRNA". It matches the Rfam family "Bacterial small subunit ribosomal RNA", at positions 38 to 1372 of the family's 1533-position model. The record is from RNAcentral. Lineage: Bacteria; Bacillati; Actinomycetota; Actinomycetes; Mycobacteriales; Nocardiaceae.